ACGGGUGAGUAAUGUCUGGGAAACUGCCUGAUGGAGGGGGAUAACUACUGGAAACGGUAGCUAAUACCGCAUGACGUCUUCGGACCAAAGUGGGGGACCUUCGGGCCUCACGCCAUCAGAUGUGCCCAGAUGGGAUUAGCUAGUAGGUGGGGUAAUGGCUCACCUAGGCAACGAUCUCUAGCUGGUCUGAGAGGAUGACCAGCCACACUGGAACUGAGACACGGUCCAGACUCCUACGGGAGGCAGCAGUGGGGAAUAUUGCACAAUGGGCGCAAGCCUGAUGCAGCCAUGCCGCGUGUAUGAAGAAGGCCUUCGGGUUGUAAGGUACUUUCAGCGAGGAGGAAGGCAUUGUGGUUAAUAACCACAGUGAUUGACGUUACUCGCAGAAGAAGCACCGGCUAACUCCGUGCCAGCAGCCGCGGUAAUACGGAGGGUGCAAGCGUUAAUCGGAAUUACUGGGCGUAAAGCGCACGCAGGCGGUUGAUUAAGUCAGAUGUGAAAUCCCCGAGCUUAACUUGGGAACUGCAUUUGAAACUGGUCGGCUAGAGUCUUGUAGAGGGGGGUAGAAUUCCAGGUGUAGC
This 581-nucleotide ribosomal RNA is filed under the name uncultured bacterium. Its description in RNAcentral is "bacterial SSU rRNA". It matches the Rfam family "Bacterial small subunit ribosomal RNA", at positions 102 to 679 of the family's 1533-position model. The record is from RNAcentral.